UGACCUCGGAUCAGGUAGGAAUACCCGCUGAACUUAAGCAUAUCAAUAAGCGGAGGAAAAGAAACCAACAGGGAUUGCCCUAGUAACGGCGAGUGAAGCGGCAACAGCUCAAAUUUGAAAUCUGGCUACUUUGUAGUCCGAGUUGUAAUUUGUAGAGGAUGCUUUUGGUGAAGUGCUUUCUGAGUUCCCUGGAACGGGACGCCAGAGAGGGUGAGAGCCCCGUACAGUUAGCAACUGAUCCUUUGUAUAGCUCCUUCGACGAGUCGAGUAGUUUGGGAAUGCUGCUCUAAAUGGGAGGUAUAUCUCUUCUAAAGCUAAAUAUAGGCUAGAGACCGAUAGCGCACAAGUAGAGUGAUCGAAAGAUGAAAAGCACUUUGAAAAGAGAGUUAAACAGCACGUGAAAUUGUUGAAAGGGAAGCGCCUAUGACCAGACUUGUCUCUAUCAGUUUUGGUAGUUUUCGGACUGCUUUACUCUGUUAGUACAGGCCAACAUCAGUUUGUUGUCGGGGAGAAAGGCUUAGGGAAUGUGGCUCCCUCGGGAGUGUUAUAGACCUUUGCAUAAUACCCUUCGGCAGA
RNAcentral lists this ribosomal RNA (576 nucleotides) under Ambrosiella beaveri. RNAcentral's name for it is "eukaryotic LSU rRNA". It matches the Rfam family "Eukaryotic large subunit ribosomal RNA", at positions 1 to 585 of the family's 3401-position model. The record is from RNAcentral. Lineage: Eukaryota; Fungi; Ascomycota; Sordariomycetes; Microascales; Ceratocystidaceae.